UACAUAGGUGGCAAGCGUUAUCCGGAUUUAUUGGGCGUAAAGGGAACGCAGGCGGUCUUUUAAGUCUGAUGUGAAAGCCUUCGGCUUAACCGGAGUAGUGCAUUGGAAACUGGGAGACUUGAGUGCAGAAGAGGAGAGUGGAACUCCACGUGUAGCGGUGAAAUGCGUAGAUAUAUGGAAGAACACCAGUGGCGAAAGCGGCUCUCUGGUCUGUAACUGACGCUGAGGUUCGAAAGCGUGGGUAGCAAACAGG
Molecule: ribosomal RNA, 253 nt
Filed under: uncultured bacterium
Lineage: Bacteria
Description: partial 16S ribosomal RNA
Rfam family: Bacterial small subunit ribosomal RNA
Source: RNAcentral